Molecule: ribosomal RNA, 465 nt
Filed under: uncultured bacterium
Lineage: Bacteria
Description: bacterial SSU rRNA
Rfam family: Bacterial small subunit ribosomal RNA
Source: RNAcentral
GGAGGAAAGUAGGGGAUCGUAAGACCUUGCACUUUUGGAGCGGCCGAUGUCUGAUUAGCUAGUUGGUGGGGUAAUGGCCUACCAAAGCUUCGAUCAGUAGCUGGUCUGAGAGGACGGCCAGCCACACUGGGACUGAGACACGGCCCAGACUCCUACGGGAGGCAGCAGUGGGGAAUUUUGGACAAUGGGGGCAACCCUGAUCCAGCCAUGCCGCGUGAGUGAAGAAGGCCUUCGGGUUGUAAAGCUCUUUCAGCCGGAACGAAACGGUUACGGUUAAUACCCGUGACUACUGACGGUACCGGAAGAAGAAGCACCGGCUAACUACGUGCCAGCAGCCGCGGUAAUACGUAGGGUGCGAGCGUUAAUCGGAAUUACUGGGCGUAAAGCGUGCGCAGGUGGUUUUGUAAGUCAGAUGUGAAAUCCCCGGGCUCAACCUGGGAACUGCGUUUGAAACUACAAAGCUAG